This 434-nucleotide ribosomal RNA is filed under the name uncultured Ruminococcus sp. RNAcentral describes it as "bacterial SSU rRNA". It matches the Rfam family "Bacterial small subunit ribosomal RNA", at positions 341 to 792 of the family's 1533-position model. Lineage: Bacteria; Bacillati; Bacillota; Clostridia; Eubacteriales; Oscillospiraceae. The record is from RNAcentral.
ACGGAAGGCAGCAGUGGGGAAUAUUGCACAAUGGGGGAAACCCUGAUGCAGCGAUGCCGCGUGGGGGAAGAAGGUUUUCGGAUUGUAAACUCCUGUCUUAAAGGACGAUAAUGACGGUACUUUAGGAGGAGGCUCCGGCUAACUACGUGCCAGCAGCCGCGGUAAUACGUAGGGAGCGAGCGUUGUCCGGAAUUACUGGGUGUAAAGGGAGCGUAGGCGGGACUGCAAGUCAGAUGUGAAAUGCCGGGGCUUAACCCCGGAGCUGCAUUUGAAACUGUGGUUCUUGAGUGAAGUAGAGGCAAGCGGAAUUCCUGGUGUAGCGGUGAAAUGCGUAGAUAUCAGGAGGAACACCGGUGGCGAAGGCGGCUUGCUGGGCUUUUACUGACGCUGAGGCUCGAAAGCGUGGGUAGCGAACAGGAUUAGAUACCCUGGUA